GAUGAAGAACGUAGCGAAAUGCGAUAAGUAAUGUGAAUUGCAGAAUUCAGUGAAUCAUCGAAUCUUUGAACGCACCUUGCGCCCUUUGGCUAUUCCGAAGGGCAUGCCUGUUUGAGUAUCAUGAACACCUCAACUCUCAUGGCUUGCCAUGAUGAGCUUGGACUUUUGGGGGUCUUGCUGGCCUGUGGUCAGCUCCUCUCAAAUGAAUUAGCCUGCCAGUGUUUGGUGGCAUCACAGGUGUGAUAACUAUCUACGCUUGUGGUUUUCCACCAGGGUAACCUUCAGCAGUGGAGGUUCACUGGAGCUUACAAAUGUCUCUCCUCUGUGAGGACAGCCCUUUGAAUGUUUGAUCUCAAAUCAGGUAGGACUACCCGCUGAACUUAAGCAUAUCAUAAGCGGAGGA
This 403-nucleotide unclassified non-coding RNA is filed under the name soil metagenome. RNAcentral's name for it is "partial contains 5.8S ribosomal RNA, internal transcribed spacer 2, and large subunit ribosomal RNA". The stretch from base 1 to 121 matches the Rfam family "5.8S ribosomal RNA", at positions 35 to 154 of the family's 154-position model. The record is from RNAcentral.